GUCCGUGUGGCUCAGUUGGUAGAGCAUGGUGUUUGCAACGCCAGGGUUGUGGGUUCGAUUCCCACGGGGGACC
Molecule: transfer RNA, 73 nt
Filed under: Salmo salar (Atlantic salmon)
Lineage: Eukaryota; Metazoa; Chordata; Actinopteri; Salmoniformes; Salmonidae
Also listed under: 1 other name
Rfam family: tRNA
About the family: Transfer RNA (tRNA) molecules are approximately 80 nucleotides in length.
Source: Rfam by way of RNAcentral